AUGCUCCUUUUGCUCAGGCCCUUUGGAAAGGCUCAAGUUGCCAUGGCAAUCUGCAUCUCCAGGCAGCGCAGCCCACCGCAUCCCCACGGCAUUCCUGGCGAGCAGCAUGGCUCUGGGGCUUGGAAACACCUCCAGGGAUUAACUGGGCUCACUCUUUCAGAUGGUUUGUUGCUGCUCUCCCGGAUCAGCUGUGUGGAGAGGAACUGCUCCUGCUGUCCUUUUCUCUUGCCUGUACAUCCUGUCCCUGGGGAAGCUCAUUCAGCAGCACCAGCUCAGCUCUGCUGACAGCUUGCAGAUCUGCCUCUCCCCCUAAUGAAAAUUACAUCAGCUCCAACGAUUAAAUCUCUUUGGGGAUGGAAUUUUCAGAACUGGUUAUUGGCUUGGAAACAGAUUAGCAGAUAUUUGCCUGCCCAUCACCAUCCCUAGGUAUAAAUUUCUGACCCUUGCUUGAUAUCCAUGACUGGUGAGUGCUUAACAUGCAGCAUAACCCCACCUGUGACAGGAUUCAUGGCUUAAUCACCAGCACCCAGAAAUGUGGCCCAAUUCUCUUUUCAAAGAAUAUCUUGCUUGUCCUUCGUGCAUUCCAAGUGUACAGACUCCAGGAAAGGAAAAAGAGCACGUGAGGAUCCCCUACAUUUUGUCCAUGAAUUUGAACAAAUCUAAUCUCUUUCCUGUGCUAUUUCUCUUCCUAAACAAGGCUGACAUUUAUUUGCUUAAAUAUCCUUUCAGUUAACAGGUACCUGUCCAGUAUUUGAUCACAACUAUAAAUAAAAGAGGGGUAACAUAGUGCUGGUGAAUGCCA
This 802-nucleotide long non-coding RNA is filed under the name Cyanistes caeruleus (blue tit). Its description in RNAcentral is "lncRNA (ENSCCEG00000006337.1)". The record is from RNAcentral. Lineage: Eukaryota; Metazoa; Chordata; Aves; Passeriformes; Paridae.